AUUAUUUUCUAAAUGAUAUUUAUUUUUAAUUCUUUUUAGAUGAGAAUAUUUUGGCUGAGGUGGAUAGUCUCAAAAGCCUUGAAUUUAGUCCCUUUUAUAUAGUAGGAUUAUUUUUGGUUUACAUGACUAAUAAUUAAUCGACCUAACAAUAAAUUUUACUCAUAUAUAUUUACUUAAUAUAUAAUUACAAGUUAUUUUCUUUCCUGAUGAGAAUCUUUAAAUUCAUCCACCUCCAAAAAUUACCAAAAAUAGUGCGAUGACACCCAAGAAAAAAAAGAAUCAAAACUACCUAUCAAGAUAGCUUGAUUUAUUUAGUCUUCCAGUACAAUAACAUGUACAGAAUUUAACUAAUAUGUAUAUUUUUAAAUAAUAAAAAUUAUAUUAAAUAUUUACUCUAACUAUUUACAUUAUUUUCAAAUUAUCAUCCCGUCCGUAGGGCGGGCCGGCCCUAAUAUAUAUAUAAACAGAUGUUUGCUUCACUCAUGUGCGUUCACAUAUGAUACCAGCUAGAUAAGUCAGUUCAUAUCAUUGUGACACCUAUCCACCAUUCAAUCCACGUUAUUUUAAUUUAACAUUGGUUGCUUUGUGUUUUGUUAAUGGGCUUUUCCGAAAAUUAGAUUAAAAAUACUGAUACAGAUAGUUACCGAGUUUUUGGGCCGAAAUCCAGAUAAAGAAGAAGUCCAUAUCGAUGUUAUCUUCUUCCUGCUUGAUAAUUUUAGGCUUCAUCUGCUAUACCUCUGCGUCUAUCUACCAACAAUGGCUGUUCUGAGAUAGUCGAUGGGUCAGUAACCUUCCCAUGGGAGUCUGCUCAUGAAGUUUUAGACUCAAUGCUUCACCUACCUCCAAAACGUUACAAGUCAUAUUAAUUCGAGAUAAUUAACCCAGACUUAACUCUUACGCUCCACUAUGACUACGAUCUCAAAUUCAAUGAAUCUGUCCAUCUUAGUCGGUGAUUCUCACCUAUAAAAAGAUUAAUAUUCAUCCAUUUAUCACCAUCACCAAAUUUCCUAAAAUUGAGAGAAAUCUUACUUUCCGUAUUUGAGAGCAGCGACCGGCGGUUUGAAAUGAAAGAUGCAGCCAUAGACUCUGGGUAUCUAUGGCCUCGCAACAAGUCGUCCAUGCAUGCCCUGCAAUGAUUCAACCGUCUUUAUGGCUGGGUUUUCGUCUGCGUUGCCACGUUCGUCGUUCUUAUCUCAAUUCAGCGGAUGAGUUUCGAACCAGAGGUUAGAUCAUCAGUGAAGAGACUGAAACGAUUUCCAACGACUGCGGGGAAACUGUCAAUAUAGAGGAUUUGAAGGUGGAUUUCAGGCAACUUUGUUUCUUGAGGCAGAAAUCGCCAUUGCAGUUGGAGCAAAGAUUCAUGGUAGUGGAGCUGCCGAGGAAACCGCAGUUGUUAGAACAGAGACGGUGUGGCCUUCAGGCGUCUGAGAUCGAUGCUCUUCCGCCAUAUAUUUUGAGAGAAAGUUCGAGGCGUUAAAAAAAAUUAGAUAAAUAAAAUUGAUUUGAAGAGAUGAAGAAUCUGCAGAAUCUAACAGAAAUAACAUGCACGAACCGGGAACUGGUCACCGAGAGAAACACAACAAAAGGAAAACAGAAUAUCUAACCUAUACUAAAAGGGGAAUAUGGUGAAUGGGGAGGAUAUCCACGUCCUCACAAAAAAUCAACCAAUCAAAAUUCUCUUUUUUAACAUGUCAUUUCUUCUUAAGUCGACAAUGAAAAAUGAUGAGCUUCUUAUGAACUUGCUCAUUCUAUUUCUUUACAGCCCAGAUCAAGUCCACUUCUGCAACUUCCAUCGUCUCUGUCGCAUCCCAUCUACUUCGUCUUCUCCGUUACAGCUAUCCAUCCUAUCAAUCAUUUGUGUUCUUUACUCCUCUCUUUAUGGAUUCUUUUCACCUCCCUUUCUUUCUCCUCAUGAAUAAAUGGCUAAACAGUUUCGUAAUUUCGUCUAAACUUACUUCCAAGCAAUCCCGAAAGCCUACUUUGAAGAGCCUGAAGCUAUGGCGAUGAACAGGUACGCCCCUUCUUUCUAAUCGGGCUUUUUCCUUUUCGCUUCGUCGACAUCCUCUACCUGAAAUAACACAUGGACAGGGCAGUGUCGUACAAGGUUUCGUUAUCAAUGAAAACAACCCCUUAUCAGCAUCGCUCACAACUCUGUGCCGUCCUAGAUUGAAUGGAACUGCUUUUCCAUUGAUUCGAAGCGAUUCAGGUUUAAGCCCUCAAGGGAAACUGUGACGUGAAGGCGAUCUGUACGAUGUAGCCGGCCAUCUCAGGCUAAUUGAUGGCCAACAUUUCCCUAUACUUCAGACCUUUAAGCUUAAAGAAGUACCUUUUAUAAAUUAUCAAGUGCAUCCUAUGGUUAGCAGAGAACCAAAGCAAUGGUGCAUUAAUCAGUUCAACAGAGGUGACCAAGGUGGAGACUUUUACUGGCGAUAUCUUGGCUUGACUGUGUGAAGGAAAUGUCUCAGGUAUCUAGAGGAACUGUCCGUUCACCGACAAUGGCGACAAGGCUAAUCUUUGAUGUUGUGUUUCAUGUACUCUUCAGUCUCUUUGUUAUGUAGCUAAGUGCAUGUCUUCUUCUCUUUAUAUGUUUUUUCUUUCAGGAAGUUAAUAGAGAAAUCAGAUGAAUGGUCCCUAAAGGUAUUGUUUUUGUUGUUGUUGUUAUUGCAGUUGCAGUUGCUUUGUCGAUGACAAAGAAGAAAAGAAAGGGAGCAGAAGGAGAGUAUUGUUAAUGAUAUCAGAGAGUGUUGAAAAAUAUAACUUUGUCCAUCUUUCUCUUUAGAAGACAUGAAAAAUAUCAAAUUUGAGGAGUUUAGACACAACGGAAGGGUUUUUCCUUGGCUAGAACAAAUUGAUGCAGUUUGCUCUUGGUCCUUCUGCUUGAGAUGAAAUCCAUCAUGCCAUCUUUAAACUUUCCAAGCUUCUUCAUGGUGAUGAUGAACUGCUUAUUACAGAUAUGCCAAAGGAAGAGGUUGAAAGCUUAUUUGACUCUUAUGAAGAUUCUGACUUUACAAGGACUGAAAGUACUGCAGUAGUAACGGUUUCUGACUAAAUAUAUUGCCAGCUUGAUAAACAAACAAGCUUGACUGUGUUAAUCUUCAUUACUGAUCAACACUGUUUUGUUACAAAUACAAUUGAUUGACCAAGUUGAACUGAAGGGAGGUCUUCUAGAAAAGUUCACAUAUGAGCUGGAACUGUUUCUAAGGAAGAAAGGUUCAACCUGAUGUUGAUCAUGUUACAGUCAGUUGGAUCCCAGCCAAUAAUCUGUUUGCAAUAAUGGUUAGCAUUAUUGAUCAAGACCUUGCUCAGAAAAAUGUGUACCAAAAUCAAGGUGUUUCCUUUCCGGAUUCGUACUGAACUGAACAUGAAUCUAUGCAGAGAAAGCUUGAAGCCUAACAAAAUGAGGAUAAGUUGAACAAUCUGGGGAAUUAACAGUCAAAAUGCCAGAGAUUUUGAGAGACCGUAAGGCUUAUGCACUCAAGAAGGCACGCAAGGCUUAGCUGCUCAAGUUAGGCAAAAUCACAGACCCUCCUGCUCUCUAUCAAGCUUGGUUUUUCUCUUUUUUUUUAAAAAAAGCAACCGCUGGUUCAGUUUUCCAUGUUCACCUUAUUUGAUCAGCAAAAUAAAAUUUCAACUUAUAUCACCCUGUAUUUGUAGAAAGAUGUUUUAAAAUUAUGGUUAUGACCCGAUUAAAAAUAAAAACUGGUUAAACAAAUAAGAUACACUGCAAUCUUAUAAAUUCAUCUACGCCUACUCCGAUUACUAAAAUUCUCGGUACAUAACCUACCUUGGUGAACGUGUUGGCUAUUAUUCCAUGCAGCUGUUGACUUAGACAUUGUCGGCUAGCUUGGAAGCACCCACUGAUAUAAGGAGAAGCUGAUUAAAGAAUAAAACUGAUUAAGUGAUAUGAUUUCUUUAGACCAUCUCCCAUUGACACCAAAUUCUCCAACAAAACAUUAAAGUUCACACCAUUCCACCAAAUUUGAUGUAACACUAUUCAUCACACCAAAUCACACCAAAUCUUUUAAAUGCAUAUUUUAUUAUGUUUUAUUUUAUAAUAUAGUUUAAUUAUUAUCAAAUUUGUAGCUAACCAUAAAUAUCUUAUUUUAUUUUUAAUUAUUUUAACACAUUUUUUAAUUUUUAUUUUUAGUUGAUUUUUCUCAAAAUUCAAAAACUAAAAUUUUAAUUUUUAAAAAUAAAUCACUAAAUAACUAUUAUCAUUUAUCACUUACCAAUAAUAAAAAUACAAAAAAUAAAAAAUGUGAUAAAACAAUUAUUUACCAAUUAUAAAUAUUAACAAUAUAAAAAAUUUAAAACUGAAAAUAUUAAAUAAUAUAUUAUAUUAGUUUUGGUGUAAAUUUGGUGUCAUUGUUGGAGAUGACAAACAAAUUAAGACACCAAAAUACCAAAUUUGGUGUAAUUUCAACACCAAAUUUGGUGUCAUUGUUGGAGAUGCCUAUAGAAAUAGUAUUUGAUGAAAGCCGAUGUCCUUUCUUCUGUAUCGUACUAAUAAAUAAGAUUAAAUGCUGACAUUUCAGGUUUUUUGUCAUUAACCAGUAAAUGUUAGAGUUCAAUAUGGUAUAGCAAGUGUAGAGAAAUUUUAAAACAUUAUGGUCAAAAUAUAGAUGACAACAUACUCAAAGGAAAUAAAUUAUGGAAUAUAUAUGUGUUGUAUGUUCUCCACUAUUCUUACCUUUUAUUAACUUAAAUGGAUUUAGAAAUUUCAUAUGAUUAUAAAUGUCAGGAACUUGCUUGACGAAAUUAUGUUUACUAAUAAAUAUCUUACUAUCAUCAUUUGAAUUGGUUUUGAUCUGCAUCAAUGAAAAUAUAUUUUUGUUAAAACUCUUUUCUGAAGAAAACAGUUUUUUUUUCUUUUUUUUGUAACACGAAGAAAACAGCUCUAACUACAAAACUAAUGUAUAAACAGAAAUUAAUCCCAGCAUUUGUAAAUAUCUAUCAAAUAUGUAAAUCUAUAUAAACACUGAGAUAGAUUAGAGCUUCCGGCCAGUAUUCCACUGUGAAGCAAAUGAUUUUAUCUUAUCAAAUGACAACUGCAACAUACUCAUACAGGAAGUAGUUUCCAAAAACAAAGAUCAACACAAACCGAAGACAAAACCUUUUUUUGGUAAAAAAAAAAAACUUAGACAAAACCUUUUAAAACUAAAUUUGACAUUAAUUUUUAAUUUUCUUUACUUCUAAGAUCAAAUCUGCUAAGACAUUUAGCCAUCAUUUUCUCUCAUUAGUAUUUAAUUUUCAAUUCAAAAAAUUUCUAAUAUUAUUUUAAGCCAGCAGAUGAUAAUAUAGUGAAAAUACACAAUCUCUACAAAAUAAUUUGAUAUUUUUUCCCUAACAAUUACAUAAUAUAGUUUGCCAAUGAUUUGAAAAGAGAAGGUGCAAAACUGUUGUGGAUUUCCUAAGAUUUAAAGUCUUUUAAACAUUAUUUGUUAAAUCAAGUAGAAGAACUCAAACAAUUUAUAACCCUAAGAGCAUACCAAAAUGUUACAAUUCUAUCAUGCUUUUAUGAGAUGAGAAAGUAAAUUAUCUUAUUUUCUAAUGACAUUCAGUUUUUGGUCAUUUUCCUUUUUGUGAUAAAAAUUUGAAAAUGGUCUAUUUAGGAGAAUUACCCUAAUUUUAAAGGGAUCAAAUAUUUGCAUAGAAUUUUCUAAAAAAAUUAUUAUCUUAUUCUUUUAUUGAUUUUUAUCAAAAUUUAAACUGGCAUAAGUUUGGGAUCGGCAAAAUAUAAUAAUUUAUAGAGAUUAUUAAUUUAUCGAGUAUUAAUUUAUAGAUAUUUUACUGUAUUUUUAAUUUUCAACACAUUAAUUUAAUUUCCAUUACUACAGAAAGCCACUAUACACAACCAAAAACAUAAACUCCCCUCCACUUUUACAUCUCAAUCGAUUCACUUCCCAUUUCAUCUGCAUAAAAAAAUGAGCAAUAAAUUUUAAAAUACUUAAUUUCAUAUAUUCCUUCUUAUAAUUACUCUAAAUCUAUUGCAACAACAACCAUAAACAGCCACAACUAUGGUCAUAUACAAAUUUUAACUUCACACAAUAUCCGCGUGUAGCGCGGACACGGACUUAGUCUGUAAUAAAAGAGAAAAAAAAUUUCCUCCGUUUUCUCAGCAAAGAAACAGAUAUGAAAAUAAAAGAUGGAAAGUUUAUUAAAUGUCUUUAUUAAAAAGCGAGAAGACAGAGAACAGAUGAGAGAAAUCGGGAGCGGAGGAAAGAUGUUUUAACCGUUGCUUGAGAUAAGAAAAAUAUGAGGCCUUACAAAUGGGUCUAUAUAUACAAUUUACCGUUAUUAUUAUAUCAACCUAUAAAAAUAAUUGUGUGAAAUCUAUACAAUUUAUUUUGUUCAUAGUUAAUUGUAAAUAGUUUCUAUAAGAGAAUCAAAUAGUGUUAUGUAAAAAUACUUAUAUUUUUCUGUAAACCUAUAUUAUUAGUAAAAUUUAAAGAAUAUUAAAGCUUAAAUAUUCUGAUUAUGAGAUUGUAUAAUUAUCUAGCUGAAUAAUUAAUUAAGUUUAGUACUUUCUGAAGCAAUUAGAAAUAAAACAAGUUAAAUAUAUUAUACAAAAAUAGAAAUAAACAAAAAAUCAAUAUAUAAAUUUUUUUUUUUAAAAAACAAAAGAAACAAGCAUAAGAAAUGUUAAUUUAUAUUGUAACUACAAAAUUACAUAUAGCAAAGUGAUCAAUUAAGCCAACUAAACUUAUCAAAAAUGAAGCCCUAAAUGUAUGUCUAUGAUGUGGGGCCUGAGGCAAUUGCUUCUUUGAAAACAAAGUAAACACGGCUUUGCUCACCGACAAUGGUUUCAAAUUUCGACGAAUCAAGUCCGUAAAGAAUGUAUAAGAAGAACAAACCCAGUGCUUCAUCAAACGAAAAUCCCGGUUGUAGACUCCAAUUAAUAAUGCACACAGUUAACAGAUGUAAACCCAAUUAUUUUGGGAGAAAUCAUAAUUACAUUAGGACUCUAUUGCAUUUUCUCAAAAGGUCACCUAAUAGUUAAUAUGAAUGAUGUCAUUAGUGAAAUCUAAAAGAAAUAUUUAUAUUGACCAAAAAAAUCUUUACAAUACAUAACAUUUUCUACAAUUUAUGAAGUAUUCCAGCGAUCUUACAACUCAUCUAUAAAUAUCGAAAUGAAGCUCAUCGCCAUUGAGACGACAAACAAAACAACAUAGAUCAACAUGGUCCAAAGACAUCCCUUCUCAAAGCUUCAAAGUCUCCUCAAGUAAAUUCAUGUUGACAUAAUUGCACGGGUUGCACUUUUCUCUCAAAACAUGUAUUUGUACCUAAUGUAAGCAGAGAGGGUUUAUGAAAAAACAAAAGACAAAAAGUGACUAUAAUCUAUUAGGUAGUACUUAAUUAACAUACUUAAGAACACUUGAGUAACCAUAAAAAUAAAACGUAUGAUAAUGAUUUGCUCUUCAACGUUGAGGACAAUAAACAUAAAAACAAGAAUCAUUUGCAAUAGAUGGAUGAUAUAAAUGAUCAUGCAAGCAUAUUUCGUAGAUUAUAUGAGAAAAAAAUGCAAUUACAUACGUAUUAGCAUGUGACACAACUAUACUGUAGAUUUUUAACCACAAUGCAAAACUUUUUUUUUACUUUGUUAAUAAUUAUUUUGAUCACCAACCCAUUCUGAGAAAAUAACAGUAUUAUACAAAUACGAUUAUGACAUUAUUCAAACUAAUUAUAUAUAUAUAUAUAGUGAAAAUACAUCAACUUAGAUGGAGAAGAACAAAAGAAAUCAAAAGAUAAAUGCCUAAUACCCUUAAAAGUUAUAAAUUUAAUGGUUCUCAAGCCAAAAAAAAAACUUUAACAAAUUUUUUUUAACAAGAUUGUUCAUUUAAAAUUUAUUUUACCUAUUAAAUAAGUGCGGCAAUAAAUAUAUUCAGACUUUAAUUAAGCUUAAAUCGUUUUAGUAUGUUUGUACACCACGUGAAAUAUAGUUUACAAUAAUAAUAUAACAAAUUUUGAGUAGUAAAAAUUUCAAAUCUUCUAGACCAAAAAUUAGCAAAAUAAAAAGCACAUUUAAUUUUUUAAAAUAAUUUAUAUUUUAAUAAUAAAUAUAAAUAUAUACAUUAUAUUGAAAUAAAGUAAAAUAAUAGAAUUAAAAAUAAAUAUAAUAGAAAAAUUCCGGGCGUAGCCCGGGCCGAUCCUAGUAUCUUAUAUAUAUAUAUCUUACAAUAUUAAAAGGGCAAUAUGUUCAAUGGAAAAGCAUGCCAAAUAAAAUUUUUAAAUUAACCAAUAAAAAAUACUCUUUCAUGCUAGGCCAGUUCUUCUUAAACUUAAAAUUGCAACUUGAAAAUGAAAUAAAAAUAGGAUUCUACGGUUGGGCUCAGUUGCUAAGCCCACUAAGAAGAUUUUAUUGGCUCAUAUACGGUCCAUGUCACAGUUUAUUCAGAAACCCGUAACAUCUGAUAAUCUUCGACCUAAUCUUUCCAUCUUCUUCGUCUUCUCUGUUUUCCCUACUUGUGAUCUCCUUUACUGAUCCUUCUCCAAUUUUGAAUGUUAAGCUUAUAUAUAUUUCUUUCCCCAGUUUUCUGAAUUUGAUUUUGUUAUAUAUGCAGAUGAACUCUUGAUUUUGGUUGUCCUAUACCAUUUGGAAACGAAGCUCUCAAGCUUCUCAACAAUGGCUGUCAUGUACAGAAACUGAAAUAUCUCUCUAGGUGUGAAGCUUUAUCGAUGUAUCCAAGAACUUAUGAUCUUUUUCACGUUGAUGGUCUGUUUACAAGCCAAAGGUGUGAGAUGACAUAUGUAAUGCUGGAAAUGGAUAGGAUCUUGCGUCCUAAUGGCUAUUAGAUUAUAUGUGAAUCAAGCUGUUUAAAGAUACUAUUACAUCGGUUGCAAAAUGAUUGAGAUGGAGUUCCAUAAGGAAAAGACAGAGUCUAACUCAGAGAAUGAGAAGCUCUUGAUUUGCUAGAAAAAGUUGUGAUAUUCAUCUAGCGGAACUUCAGAAGUAGUAAAAACGUAGUUUGUGAUUACGAUAACCUUUUGUUAUGAAACCUCUUUACUUUUUAUGUAUUACUACGAUACCAUGCGAAGGCUGAAGCUAUCAUUUUGGCUUUUAUAGAUUUUAAUAUUUGAUUAUAGUAAA
Molecule: long non-coding RNA, 9088 nt
Organism: Brassica napus (rape)
Lineage: Eukaryota; Viridiplantae; Streptophyta; Magnoliopsida; Brassicales; Brassicaceae
Exons: 12
Source: RefSeq, a predicted model, not a curated record